ACACGAGAAAGGAGGUGGUUCGGCAGAUGUAUAAGAACCGGACGCGUGAGGUGGCUGCGGGCUAGCGGCCCGACACCACACACAGUGCGGUGCCGGACCAGCACGUGAGCGAACGUGCAGCCGGCCCAAUCUCCAGCAGUCACCCGACCCGCGAGCCGCCGGUACGUCCGGCCGGACCCUCCUUCGGAGGACCAGGCUCGCGGGUCGUCUGCG
This 213-nucleotide small RNA is filed under the name Streptomyces violaceus subsp. violarus. RNAcentral describes it as "sRNA Ms_IGR-5". It matches the Rfam family "Actinobacteria sRNA Ms_IGR-5". The record is from RNAcentral. Lineage: Bacteria; Bacillati; Actinomycetota; Actinomycetes; Kitasatosporales; Streptomycetaceae.